GGUUAAGCGACUAAGCGUACACGGUGGAUGCCCUGGCAGUCAGAGGCGAUGAAGGACGUGCUAAUCUGCGAUAAGCGUCGGUGAGGUGAUAUGAACCGUUAUAACCGGCGAUUUCCGAAUGGGGAAACCCAGUGUGUUUCGACACACUAUCAUUAACUGAAUCCAUAGGUUAAUGAGGCGAACCGGGGGAACUGAAACAUCUAAGUACCCCGAGGAAAAGAAAUCAACCGAGAUUCCCCCAGUAGCGGCGAGCGAACGGGGAGGAGCCCAGAGCCUGAAUCAGUGUGUGUGUUAGUGGAAGCGUCUGGAAAGGCGUGCGAUACAGGGUGACAGCCCCGUACACAAAAAUGCACAUAUUGUGAGCUCGAUGAGUAGGGCGGGACACGUGGUAUCCUGUCUGAAUAUGGGGGGACCAUCCUCCAAGGCUAAAUACUCCUGACUGACCGAUAGUGAACCAGUACCGUGAGGGAAAGGCGAAAAGAACCCCGGCGAGGGGAGUGAAAAAGAACCUGAAACCGUGUACGUACAAGCAGUGGGAGCCUCUUAAUGGGGUGACUGCGUACCUUUUGUAUAAUGGGUCAGCGACUUAUAUUCUGUAGCAAGGUUAACCGAAUAGGGGAGCCGAAGGGAAACCGAGUCUUAACUGGGCGUUAAGUUGCAGGGUAUAGACCCGAAACCCGGUGAUCUAGCCAUGGGCAGGUUGAAGGUUGGGUAACACUAACUGGAGGACCGAACCGACUAAUGUUGAAAAAUUAGCGGAUGACUUGUGGCUGGGGGUGAAAGGCCAAUCAAACCGGGAGAUAGCUGGUUCUCCCCGAAAGCUAUUUAGGUAGCGCCUCGUGAAUUCAUCUCCGGGGGUAGAGCACUGUUUCGGCAAGGGGGUCAUCCCGACUUACCAACCCGAUGCAAACUGCGAAUACCGGAGAAUGUUAUCACGGGAGACACACGGCGGGUGCUAACGUCCGUCGUGAAGAGGGAAACAACCCAGACCGCCAGCUAAGGUCCCAAAGUCAUGGUUAAGUGGGAAACGAUGUGGGAAGGCCCAGACAGCCAGGAUGUUGGCUUAGAAGCAGCCAUCAUUUAAAGAAAGCGUAAUAGCUCACUGGUCGAGUCGGCCUGCGCGGAAGAUGUAACGGGGCUAAACCAUGCACCGAAGCUGCGGCAGCGACACUAUGUGUUGUUGGGUAGGGGAGCGUUCUGUAAGCCUGUGAAGGUGGCCUGUGAGGGUUGCUGGAGGUAUCAGAAGUGCGAAUGCUGACAUAAGUAACGAUAAAGCGGGUGAAAAGCCCGCUCGCCGGAAGACCAAGGGUUCCUGUCCAACGUUAAUCGGGGCAGGGUGAGUCGACCCCUAAGGCGAGGCCGAAAGGCGUAGUCGAUGGGAAACAGGUUAAUAUUCCUGUACUUGGUGUUACUGCGAAGGGGGGACGGAGAAGGCUAUGUUGGCCGGGCGACGGUUGUCCCGGUUUAAGCGUGUAGGCUGGUUUUCCAGGCAAAUCCGGAAAAUCAAGGCUGAGGCGUGAUGACGAGGCACUACGGUGCUGAAGUAACAAAUGCCCUGCUUCCAGGAAAAGCCUCUAAGCAUCAGGUAACAUCAAAUCGUACCCCAAACCGACACAGGUGGUCAGGUAGAGAAUACCAAGGCGCUUGAGAGAACUCGGGUGAAGGAACUAGGCAAAAUGGUGCCGUAACUUCGGGAGAAGGCACGCUGAUAUGUAGGUGAAGCGACUUGCUCGUGGAGCUGAAAUCAGUCGAAGAUACCAGCUGGCUGCAACUGUUUAUUAAAAACACAGCACUGUGCAAACACGAAAGUGGACGUAUACGGUGUGACGCCUGCCCGGUGCCGGAAGGUUAAUUGAUGGGGUUAGCGGUAACGCGAAGCUCUUGAUCGAAGCCCCGGUAAACGGCGGCCGUAACUAUAACGGUCCUAAGGUAGCGAAAUUCCUUGUCGGGUAAGUUCCGACCUGCACGAAUGGCGUAAUGAUGGCCAGGCUGUCUCCACCCGAGACUCAGUGAAAUUGAACUCGCUGUGAAGAUGCAGUGUACCCGCGGCAAGACGGAAAGACCCCGUGAACCUUUACUAUAGCUUGACACUGAACAUUGAGCCUUGAUGUGUAGGAUAGGUGGGAGGCUUUGAAGUGUGGACGCCAGUCUGCAUGGAGCCGACCUUGAAAUACCACCCUUUAAUGUUUGAUGUUCUAACGUUGGCCCGUAAUCCGGGUUGCGGACAGUGUCUGGUGGGUAGUUUGACUGGGGCGGUCUCCUCCUAAAGAGUAACGGAGGAGCACGAAGGUUGGCUAAUCCUGGUCGGACAUCAGGAGGUUAGUGCAAUGGCAUAAGCCAGCUUGACUGCGAGCGUGACGGCGCGAGCAGGUGCGAAAGCAGGUCAUAGUGAUCCGGUGGUUCUGAAUGGAAGGGCCAUCGCUCAACGGAUAAAAGGUACUCCGGGGAUAACAGGCUGAUACCGCCCAAGAGUUCAUAUCGACGGCGGUGUUUGGCACCUCGAUGUCGGCUCAUCACAUCCUGGGGCUGAAGUAGGUCCCAAGGGUAUGGCUGUUCGCCAUUUAAAGUGGUACGCGAGCUGGGUUUAGAACGUCGUGAGACAGUUCGGUCCCUAUCUGCCGUGGGCGCUGGAGAACUGAGGGGGGCUGCUCCUAGUACGAGAGGACCGGAGUGGACGCAUCACUGGUGUUCGGGUUGUCAUGCCAAUGGCACUGCCCGGUAGCUAAAUGCGGAAGAGAUAAGUGCUGAAAGCAUCUAAGCACGAAACUUGCCCCGAGAUGAGUUCUCCCUGACUCCUUGAGAGUCCUGAAGGAACGUUGAAGACGACGACGUUGAUAGGCCGGGUGUGUAAGCGCAGCGAUGCGUUGAGCUAACCGGUACUAAUGAACCGUGAGGCUUAACCUU
RNAcentral lists this ribosomal RNA (2904 nucleotides) under Escherichia coli. Its description in RNAcentral is "23S ribosomal RNA". It matches the Rfam family "Bacterial large subunit ribosomal RNA". The record is from RNAcentral. Lineage: Bacteria; Pseudomonadati; Pseudomonadota; Gammaproteobacteria; Enterobacterales; Enterobacteriaceae.